RNAcentral lists this ribosomal RNA (491 nucleotides) under uncultured bacterium. RNAcentral describes it as "partial 16S ribosomal RNA". It matches the Rfam family "Bacterial small subunit ribosomal RNA", at positions 30 to 507 of the family's 1533-position model. The record is from RNAcentral.
AGUGAACGCUGGCGGUAGGCCUAACACAUGCAAGUCGAACGGCAGCACAGUAAGAGCUUGCUCUUACGGGUGGCGAGUGGCGGACGGGUGAGGAAUACAUCGGAAUCUACUUUUUCGUGGGGGAUAACGCAGGGAAACUUACGCUAAUACCGCAUACGACCUACGGGUGAAAGCAGGGGAUCUUCGGACCUUGCGCGAUUGAAUGAGCCGAUGUCGGAUUAGCUAGUUGGCGGGGUAAAGGCCCACCAAGGCGACGAUCCGUAGCUGGUCUGAGAGGAUGUUGAGCCCAACUGAAAUGGAGAACCGGCCAAGACUCCGAGGGAGGGAACAGGGGGGGAAGGUUGGCAAAAGGGGGGAAGCCGGCCCAAGCCAACCCGGGGGGGUGAAGAAGGCCUGCGGGUGGUAAACCCCUUUUUUUGGGAAAAAAAAGCCGCGGGUUAAACCCCCGGUUUUUGGCGGGAACCAAAAAAAAAGGCCCGGCUAACUUCCGG